This 68-nucleotide transfer RNA is filed under the name Schizonycha sp. SCH01. RNAcentral describes it as "tRNA-Trp". The record is from RNAcentral. Lineage: Eukaryota; Metazoa; Arthropoda; Insecta; Coleoptera; Scarabaeidae.
AAGGAUUUAAGUUAAUCUAAACUUGGAGCCUUCAAAGUUCCCAAUAAAGAACCGCUCUUUAAGCCUUA